GGUAGAUUCAAAAUUAUUCUUCAUUUUAUGUGUAAGCAGGGCACUAACCAUCAAGAAAAAAGAAUCAAUGAAUUUCAUUGAUCAGUGUAAUUGAUAAGUCACAUAAUGGUUCAACUAUUAUAAAGGUCUGUCGUGAAGAAUGAAGUCUGCUUAUGAUAACAUGUCACAUGACAAAAUCAACAUAAAUGGGCAAAUUUAUGUAGAACUGGAGCUUGCCUGCUGAUCGGAUCAGACGUGCUCUGUCUGAGCUCCCGCAUCUGUGUCCGAAAACCAGGUUUAACUGCGAGCCACAUGCUGAUACCAACCCAAAUCAAUGACUAACCUACUAAGCUGCCGACAGUGUACACGGUGAUACCUUACACAACUCCAUACGGCAUUGAAGUAACCCGAUCGAGGCCUGAGGCCUACCUAAGCUUGAGCUGGUGUGAGACGGCCGCUCUCCUAGUUCUCCAAUCUGUGCUUUGCUGUCCCCCCCCCCUGGGCCGGUGGGGUUAUCCUGGUCCCCACAGAUGACCAACUCUGACUACAGCUGCAACCAAGCACCUGCACUGUUGUAGAUUACAGACUGGGAAGUUCACCUUAAGAUGACUGACAAUCAACAGCCUUGUGCACAGCAUCCUGCCAAGACAAUGCAGAGUGCAAGUGACCUCAUAUUGCAACACUUGGCUAUGAUGUUCGACAGCUUCAGGGUUAAGUUAUCUGCCCACCUCGAGGUGCCAAAGGCUCCGGGUGCGGAGAGCAAGCAGAGGGAAGAGAGGCAGGAGAAGAGCGGGCCUCCCAUGGGCGCUCCUUCUACAGCAGUUUUGCAGCUUCCCACGAUGGGCCUACCCAGGCUUAAGACCAACAGGGAUGUACUCCCAGUUCAUCAACCACUGAUGCGGAGGAUCCAAUGCCGCAGACGGUGAUUGUCCAUUGAGAUUCAACGCUGUCCCAUGGAAAGGGAAGAACUUUGCCUCCCUUAUGAGCAACUAAGUUUGUGGCCCAUGGUUACAGGCCUUCACAAUGGCCUGAGGCUUUGGGGAGGACAUACUUGGACUCUGCCUCUUGCUGUCAUCCUACCCCUUACACCUGCCACCAAGCUGGGGCAUAGGUUGAAUCUGGACUUUACACCCCAAGCACUCAGAUGGCUGGCGCACUAGCCCAUACACUGGAUUGCCCUACUGAUUAUAGCAUGCCAUCCUGCAUCUACAUUCUUACACCUGGCACUAACAUACACUAGCUAUGACAGACACAUCCAAACACAAAGCACUCACCAUCAUACCCAUCUUGUGGAGACAGUGCCCGACUCAUGUAACAUGCAACCAUCCACUAAGGUGGAACUUGCUGUUUAUGCGAUCAUAAUACUCUCAAGUAAAUCUAACCUGAAACACUCUGUUUUUUGUUUGUACAUGCCAUCGUAGUAUACUCAUGGAGACCUAGCCUGAUAUAUGAUGAUUUUAGCAUGUCUACUUUACAACAAUCCAUUCAUGAAUAUCUAGCCCAAGGAUAGGCAACCUUCGGCACUCCAGAUGUUGUGGACUACAUCCCCCAUAAUGAUCUUAUACCCAUAAUGCUGACAAAGCAUCAUGGGAAGUGUAGUCUAAAACAUCUAGAGUGCCUUGCCUGUAACCGUUCGUACUCCAAUUUACCGCUAUAACGUCUUAUAACUUAGAAUUUAGCAGGGCUAACCAUACAGAUAUCUUAGCUAAAUAUUGUAUAGUCGGUAUAGAGUUUCUCUAUUUAAAAUACAUAAAUAAUUGAGAAUACAAUAAAAAUAGGAGUUGGAAG
This is a non-coding RNA of Pelobates cultripes (western spadefoot toad), 1767 nucleotides long. Lineage: Eukaryota; Metazoa; Chordata; Amphibia; Anura; Pelobatidae. The record is from the annotation of a GenBank genome assembly.